AGUGGCGGACGGGUGAGUAACGCGUGAGGAACCUGCCUUUCAGAGGGGGACAACAGUUGGAAACGACUGCUAAUACCGCAUGACACAUAGGGGUCGCAUGGCCUUUAUGUCAAAGAUUUAUCGCUGAAAGAUGGCCUCGCGUCUGAUUAGCUAGUUGGUGAGGUAACGGCCCACCAAGGCGACGAUCGGUAGCCGGACUGAGAGGUUGAACGGCCACAUUGGGACUGAGACACGGCCCAGACUCCUACGGGAGGCAGCAGUGGGGAAUAUUGCACAAUGGGGGAAACCCUGAUGCAGCGACGCCGCGUGGAGGAAGAAGGUCUUCGGAUUGUAAACUCCUGUUGUUGAGGAAGAUAAUGACGGUACUCAACAAGGAAGUGACGGCUAACUACGUGCCAGCAGCCGCGGUAAAACGUAGGUCACAAGCGUUGUCCGGAAUUACUGGGUGUAAAGGGAGCGCAGGCGGGCGAUCAAGUUGGAAGUGAAAUCCAUGGGCUCAACCCAUGAACUGCUUUCAAAACUGGUCGUCUUGAGUAGUGCAGAGGUAGGCGGAAUUCCCGGUGUAGCGGUGGAAUGCGUAGAUAUCGGGAGGAACACCAGUGGCGAAGGCGGCCUACUGGGCACCAACUGACGCUGAGGCUCGAAAGUGUGGGUAGCAAACAGGAUUAGAUACCCUGGUAGUCCACACCGUAAACGAUGAUUACUAGGUGUUGGGAGAUUGACCCUCUCAGUGCCGCAGUUAACACAAUAAGUAAUCCACCUGGGGAGUACGACCGCAAGGUUGAAACUCAAAGGAAUUGACGGGGGCCCGCACAAGCAGUGGAGUAUGUGGUUUAAUUCGACGCAACGCGAAGAACCUUACCAAGUCUUGACAUCCCUUGACGAUGCUGGAAACAGUAUUUCUCUUCGGAGCAAGGAGACAGGUGGUGCAUGGUUGUCGUCAGCUCGUGUCGUGAGAUGUUGGGUUAAGUCCCGCAACGAGCGCAACCCUUAUGGUCAGUUACUACGCAAGAGGACUCUGGCCAGACUGCCGUUGACAAAACGGAGGAAGGUGGGGAUGACGUCACAAUCAUCAUGCCCUUUAUGACUUGGGCUACACACGUACUACAAUGGCGUUAAACAAAGAGAAGCAAGACCGCGAGGUGGAGCAAAACUCAGAAACAACGUCCCAGUUCGGACUGCAGGCUGCAACUCGCCUGCACGAAGUCGGAAUUGCUAGUAAUCGUGGAUCAGCAUGCCACGGUGAAUACGUUCCCGGGCCUUGUACACACCGCCCGUCA
RNAcentral lists this ribosomal RNA (1280 nucleotides) under uncultured bacterium. RNAcentral describes it as "bacterial SSU rRNA". It matches the Rfam family "Bacterial small subunit ribosomal RNA", at positions 94 to 1399 of the family's 1533-position model. The record is from RNAcentral.